AAGGGCAUCUUGGGUAGUUCAAAAAUAUAACCCUCAGAUGAGGUGAAGUUCGAGACUUGGAAUUGUAUUUCCCUACAGAAGCCCUGCCUCUUCUUCUUCUUCUUCUUCCAGUCGACACAGGGAAACCCUACAAUCCAAACCCUCUUACAAUGGGAGAUAUUAUUCAUGUAGGUUUCUUCUUGAAUUUGCUACGCCUCAAAGUGGAAUACCGACUCCUAUUUAUGCCGGAAUGUUGGAGCCCGGCGAACAUUUGGUUAUGUGGAUAGUGGGUGUUCCAUGAUGGUCUUUCCAUCGUGCUUGAGCUUCCGAUUGAGAUCAAUCGCAAAUAAAGAGACAAAUAUGUCAUCUUUCCUUCAGAUGACGAUGAUGAUGAUGAUUCUCACGUUGAUGACAAUAUAUGGUAUGGUAAAUUGUCUCCUAGUACCCUGCAGCAUCAAGUCUUUUGCCAGAUCAACAGGAUUGGAUUAUGAAUCAUCAAUUAUCAGAAACAGAGGAGUGAAUCGGUUGCUUAACUAACUACAGGGUAAAGUUUUGAAACCAGAGUGAAAUAUGGAUUCUCCACCAGGUUUCUCUUUGAAGCAGAAACGUGAACAUCGACGUAAGCAUGAUAAGUCAGAACAUGAAGAGAAUGCAACCGCAAAGCCUGGACCCGACAUCUUGAAGUCAAACAAACAGAGUACAAGUACAAGUAAGGUUGAGGUAGGUCCAGCGUUUAAUGGUGUUGUGGAAGAAUAUUUCGAUGGCGGGGUUCGAAUGAAGGUGAAGGUAGGAGAUACUGAGAUGAAGAGUGUUGCAUUUUAUCCCGUCCCUCCGCCAAAUGUUGUUCCCCCUGAUAUUAAGAUGGUGACGAGAAAGGACCUUGCUAUACCAGCCGUGCAUUCUUCUUUACUUCAUUUCUCAGCACAAGGUAAGAGGCAACGUGCUGAGGUGAAAAAGGAGAAACCUGCAGAUCCUUAGAUGUGCUAGGCUUUUCGGUUUUUCAAUGUGUGUUUGUAACUUGGUGUUCCAAUUUCAAUUUGAACUUUUAUAAUGUUCAAGAAUUGCGACUCCAGUUUCUCUGGAGAGCUUUGUUUGGGAUCCAGACAAUGAACAAGUUGCUACCGUUGGUUGUGGUUUAUCUCCUUUCCAAAAUCUUGUUUUGCUUUC
Rosa chinensis is the source of this 1146-nucleotide long non-coding RNA. RefSeq lists it as uncharacterized. The record is from RefSeq and is a predicted model, not a curated record. NCBI's taxonomy places the organism in Eukaryota, Viridiplantae, Streptophyta, Magnoliopsida, Rosales, Rosaceae. The transcript has 3 exons.